This 249-nucleotide ribosomal RNA is filed under the name uncultured bacterium. RNAcentral's name for it is "partial 16S ribosomal RNA". It matches the Rfam family "Bacterial small subunit ribosomal RNA", at positions 104 to 353 of the family's 1533-position model. The record is from RNAcentral.
GGGUGAGUAAUGUCUGGGAAACUGCCUGAUGGAGGGGGAGUAACUACUGGAAACGGUAGCUAAUACCGCAUAACGUCGCAAGACCAAAGAGGGGGACCUUCGGGCCUCUUGCCAUCAGAUGUGCCCAGAUGGGAUUAGCUAGUAGGUGGGGUAACGGCUCACCUAGGCGACGAUCCCUAGCUGGUCUGAGAGGAUGACCAGCCACACUGGAACUGAGACACGGUCCAGACUCCUACGGGAGGCAGCAUG